UACAGAGGGGGCAAGCGUUGUUCGGAAUUACUGGGCGUAAAGGGCGCGUAGGUGGCCUUCUAAGUUGAACGUGAAAUCCCUGGGCUCAACCCAGGAACUGCGUCCAAGACUGGGAGGCUUGAAUCCGGGAGAGGGAUGCGGAAUUCCAGGUGUAGCGGUGAAAUGCGUAGAUAUGCGGAGGAACACCGAUGGCGAAGGCAAUCCCCUGGGCCUGCACUGACGCUCAUGCACGAAAGCGUGGGGAGCAAACAGG
RNAcentral lists this ribosomal RNA (253 nucleotides) under uncultured bacterium. RNAcentral describes it as "partial 16S ribosomal RNA". It matches the Rfam family "Bacterial small subunit ribosomal RNA", at positions 524 to 776 of the family's 1533-position model. The record is from RNAcentral.